This 1497-nucleotide ribosomal RNA is filed under the name uncultured bacterium. RNAcentral describes it as "16S ribosomal RNA". It matches the Rfam family "Bacterial small subunit ribosomal RNA". The record is from RNAcentral.
AGGGUUUGAUCCUGGCUCAGAUUGAACGCUGGCGGAAUGCUUUACACAUGCAAGUCGAACGGGACUUAGGGGCUUGCUCCUAAGUUUAGUGGCGAACGGGUGAGUAACAUAUCGGAACGUAUCCAUUAAUGGGGGAUAACUAAUCGAAAGGUUGGCUAAUACCGCAUACGCCCUACGGGGGAAAGCAGGGGAUCUUCGGACCUUGCGUUAAUGGAGCGGCCGAUAUCUGAUUAGCUAGUUGGUGGGGUAAAGGCUCACCAAGGCGACGGUCAGUAGCUGGUCUGAGAGGACGACCAGCCACACUGGAACUGAGACACGGUCCAGACUCCUACGGGAGGCAGCAGUGGGGAAUUUUGGACAAUGGGCGAAAGCCUGAUCCAGCCAUUCCGCGUGAGUGAAGAAGGCCUUCGGGUUGUAAAGCUCUUUCGCAAGGGAAGAAAACUUAUAUUCUAAUAAAGUAUGAGGAUGACGGUACCUUGAUAAGAAGCACCGGCUAACUACGUGCCAGCAGCCGCGGUAAUACGUAGGGUGCGAGCGUUAAUCGGAAUUACUGGGCGUAAAGCGUGCGCAGGCGGUUUUGAAAGUCAGAUGUGAAAUCCCCGAGCUCAACUUGGGAACUGCGUUUGAACUCCAAAGCUAGAGUAUAGGAGAGGGGGGUAGAAUUCCACGUGUAGCAGUGAAAUGCGUAGAGAUGUGGAGGAAUACCAAUGGCGAAGGCAGCCCCCUGGCCUAAUACUGACCCUCAUGCACGAAAGCGUGGGGAGCAAACAGGAUUAGAUACCCUGGUAGUCCACGCCCUAAACGAUGUCUACUAGUUGUUGGUGGAGUAAAAUCCAUUAGUAACGCAGCUAACGCGUGAAGUAGACCGCCUGGGGAGUACGGUCGCAAGAUUAAAACUCAAAUGAAUUGACGGGGGCCCGCACAAGCGGUGGAUUAUGUGGAUUAAUUCGAUGCAACGCGAAAAACCUUACCUGGCCUUGACAUGCCACUAACGAAGCAGAGAUGCAUUAGGUGCUCGAAAGAGAAAGUGGACACAGGUGCUGCAUGGCUGUCGUCAGCUCGUGUCGUGAGAUGUUGGGUUAAGUCCCGCAACGAGCGCAACCCUUGUCGUUAAUUGCCAUCAUUGAGUUGGGCACUUUAACGAGACUGCCGGUGACAAACCGGAGGAAGGUGGGGAUGACGUCAAGUCCUCAUGGCCCUUAUGGCCAGGGCUUCACACGUAAUACAAUGGUCGGUACAGAGGGUUGCCAACCCGCGAGGGGGAGCCAAUCCCAGAAAGCCGAUCGUAGUCCGGAUUGCAGUCUGCAACUCGACUGCAUGAAGUCGGAAUCGCUAGUAAUCGCGGAUCAGCAUGUCGCGGUGAAUACGUUCCCGGGCCUUGUACACACCGCCCGUCACACCAUGGGAGUGGGUUUCACCAGAAGUAGGUAGUCUAACCGCAAGGAGGACGCUUACCACGGUGGGAUUCAUGACUGGGGUGAAGUCGUAACAAGGUAG